RNAcentral lists this long non-coding RNA (479 nucleotides) under Mus spicilegus (steppe mouse). RNAcentral's name for it is "lncRNA (ENSMSIG00000014225.1)". The record is from RNAcentral. Lineage: Eukaryota; Metazoa; Chordata; Mammalia; Rodentia; Muridae.
CUGCGCUCCGGAGAGCUUCGGGAGCCUCGCACACUGUGUCCUCUCCAUUGCUGUCAGAAGUCAGGCGGCCCAGACCCUCCUCCAGCUGUGGCCCUUGCUGUCUGCAAACAAGUUCCUCCACGUGUCUGCCUGGAGCACAAACGACCAGGACGCAAGACGAGUGGAUUCCCUUUUGCAGGUUUCUUUGUCUUAGAUUUGGACGUUCACUUUAUCGGCGCACACAGCACAUGGGAAGGGAUGGUACAAACGUGAGACCAGGGCAGGGGAGCUGGCCUAAGCCCGUUACUGCAGCAGGUUGGCCCCAGGAGGUGGAGAUCGAGUUGUUCAUCUGGGAAAGCAGGGGAACUUGGCAGAAAGGAUCAAGUGCAAAAUACUUAGAGCAGAAUAAACUCCACAGGCUGCUCAAAGAAAGCAUGCGUCCGCUCAGAAAAGGGCUUAAUUAUCGCUUCUUCAAUAAUCUCAAUCCCAUGCCCCACUGA